This 194-nucleotide ribosomal RNA is filed under the name uncultured bacterium. RNAcentral's name for it is "partial 16S ribosomal RNA". It matches the Rfam family "Bacterial small subunit ribosomal RNA", at positions 338 to 524 of the family's 1533-position model. The record is from RNAcentral.
CCUACGGGAGGCAGCAGUGGGGAAUAUUGGACAAUGGGCGAAAGCCUGAUCCAGCCAUGCCGCGUGUGUGAAGAAGGCCCUCGGGUUGUAAAGCACUUUCAGUGGGGAAGAAAGCCUUGGGAUUAAUACUCCCGAGGAAGGACAUCACCCACAGAAGAAGCACCGGCUAACUCCGUGCCAGCAGCCGCGGUAAU